CGCCUGCCCUGUGACAAAAGUUCAACGGCCGCGGUAUUUUGACCGUGCAAAGGUAGCGCAAUCACUUGUCUUUUAAAUGAAGACCUGUAUGAAUGGCAUGACGAGGGCUUAACUGUCUCCUUUUUCCAGUCAAUAAAAUUGAUCUUCCCGUGCAGAAGCGGGAAUAUAACCAUAAGACGAGAAGACCCUAUGGAGCUUUAGACACAAGACAGAUCUUGUUAAACACUUCAAAAUAAAGAAACAAACUAAAAGAACCCUGCCCUACUGUCUUCGGUUGGGGCGACCACGGGGAGAUAAAUAACCCCCACGCGGACUGAGAAAACAGUUCUCACAACCAAGAGCUACAGCUCUAAUCAACAGAAAAUCUGACCUCAAGAUCCGGCAACGCCGAUCAACGAACCAAGUUACCCUAGGGAUAACAGCGCAAUCCCCUUUUAGAGUCCAUAUCGACAAGGGGGUUUACGACCUCGAUGUUGGAUCAGGACAUCCUAAUGGUGCAGCAGCUAUUAAGGGUUCGUUUGUUCAACGAUUAAAGUCCU
Molecule: ribosomal RNA, 539 nt
Filed under: Betta pugnax (Penang betta)
Lineage: Eukaryota; Metazoa; Chordata; Actinopteri; Anabantiformes; Osphronemidae
Description: partial 16S ribosomal RNA
Rfam family: Bacterial large subunit ribosomal RNA
Source: RNAcentral